Molecule: non-coding RNA, 104 nt
Filed under: Trypanosoma cruzi strain CL Brener
Lineage: Eukaryota; Euglenozoa; Kinetoplastea; Trypanosomatida; Trypanosomatidae
Source: RNAcentral
CCCCAGCGAUGAAGUCGCACCUUGUCGCGGUGCUGGGGCUCUCGUUGCGUAUAGGAACUCCGCAGCAGGGCGUUGCUGCGAGCACGACGGAGACCAAGACAACU